GAUGAACGCUGGCGGCGUGCCUAAUACAUGCAAGUCGAGCGAACAGACGAGGAGCUUGCUCCUCUGACGUUAGCGGCGGACGGGUGAGUAACACGUGGAUAACCUACCUAUCAGACUGGGAUAACUUCGGGAAACCGGAGCUAAUACCGGAUAAUAUAUUGAACCGCAUGGUUCAAUAGUGAAAGACGGUUUUGCUGUCACUUAUAGAUGGAUCCGCGCCGCAUUAGCUAGUUGGUAAGGUAACGGCUUACCAAGGCAACGAUGCGUAGCCGACCUGAGAGGGUGAUCGGCCACACUGGAGCUGAGACACGGUCCCGAAUCCUACGGGAGGCAGCAGUAGGGAAGCUUCCGCAAUGGGCGAAAGCCUGACGGAGCAACGCCGCGGGAGUGAUGAAGGUCGUCGGAUCGUAGAACUCUGUUAUUAGGGAAGAACAAAUGUGUAAGUAACUAUGCACGUCUUGACGGUACCUAAUCAGAAAGCCACGGCUAACUACGUG
This 497-nucleotide ribosomal RNA is filed under the name uncultured bacterium. RNAcentral describes it as "partial 16S ribosomal RNA". It matches the Rfam family "Bacterial small subunit ribosomal RNA", at positions 28 to 507 of the family's 1533-position model. The record is from RNAcentral.